CGAGGCGUGAAACACCCUUUCCAUGCUCCGUGUCAGCCUGGGUUCCAGAAUGCACGUUUGUCAGACACCUGAGCUUCUGCGCUUUGCCUCCGGCUCCCUCCUCCCUCCCUGCUUCCUUCCACUGUGCCAGGUCCCUCCCACUACAUUUGGCUCCCUGAAAUAUAGUCUCAUUUCACUGCCAGGCCUCUGUGAUUUACUGCGCGUGAGCAUCACCGCGGAGCAAGGAAGACAUUCUUCAUUUUUCUAUGUGACGCACGAGGAGCCAUAAAAGUUGAAGAUGAGUGCUUGUGAGCCUAACGACACAUGUCCCAUCCCGUCAAGGAUUCUUGCCAUUGGAACCCAGCCACCAUGUUAUGAAAAAGCCCAGGCAGCAAUGGGAGGCCCUGUGUGGAUGUUUCAGCCAAAAGCCUCAGCUGAAGUAUCAGCCAACGAGAGAGCUACGCACCGUCCUGAAACUGGUGUUUCCUUCCCAUCCGUGUUCUAUGUUAGUAUUCAUAAGAAAUAUUAGUACUGAUUUUUGUGUCAUAAAUUUUAUAUUACUGUUAUUAUAAUAUGCUAUCCUUCAGCAAUUUGUUUUUUCUUCAUUCAGUGUUAUGUUUUUGUAUACACUGAUACAGAUCAACGUAUAGUUCCAGUUUAUGUUUUAACUGCUGUAUGAUAUUCCAUUCUAGAAUUUUAGUUAAUUCCCCUACCGGUGAGUGUUUAGGUUCUUUCUAAUAUCCCACUUUGAUAUAAGUUGAUAUCUGAACAUACUUCAGCCUCUCUGCGCACGCAUGUGGGAGUUCCUCUAAACAAUGCACUUAGGAUGGGGGCUUGCCUUGUAUGGGUCGCACAGCUUCAAUUUAAUGCACUUAACGGCAGUUUCCGUUUCUCCAUUGUCGUGCUUUAAUUUUUGUCGAAUUGCUAGAUGUGAAGAUGUAUCCUAUUUUUGUCUUCUUUUGCAUUUCCUUGAUUACUAGCAGGUCUAAGCAUUUUUUUUUUCAUAUUUAUGGGGCAUAUGGUUUUUCCUCUUUUGCAAAUUAUCCAUACAUAUUUUUGCUUCCUUUUCUAUUGUUACUUACAUUUUCCUAUUGCUUUUUGAAAAUCGCUUACAUAAUCCCGAAGACAAUCUUUUCUAUAUAGGUUGCUAAUAUCUUCUGCUUUGCUGCUUAACUUUCUGUUUCGUUUAUGGUGGCUUGGAAGGCAGUUUGAAACAUUAAUGAGGUAAAAUUUAUCGAAGAUUUCCAUUGAGAUUUUGCUUCUGGGGACUAAUUAAGAAAUCCUUUCCCACAUAAAGACAUACAGUUUUUCAUUUAUUUAUCUUUAUUUUUUGAAUUUCACUUUCAUGUGGCUAAGCAAUUGUUCUGGCAAUUUAUGGGAAUAGCUCUUUCUUUCGUUGUUUUAUAAUGCAAACUGUGUCAUUUAUCAAGCUCCCUGUCAUGCAGAGGUGUAAUUAUGAGCUCUCUAUUUGCCUAUUUAUGCACUAAUAUUUUCUGUCCUAAUAAGUGCUUUUUAAAGAGUCAGUGUCUUGACCAAGGUCUCUAUGUUACCAAAUCGAGCGGUCAAUUUGCAUCACGCCCUUUCUUGGCCUGUCAGGAACAUGUGACGUGGUUGGCCGCUGCCUCCCUCCUGAAACCUUUUCCUCUCUUGGAUUCCAGGGCACAGCACCCUCCUGGUUUCCUCCGCCUCGCCGGCUGCUCCCCCUCGGUUUCCACUGCAGCUCUGGAUGCUUUGCCCAACUCUUCCCGUUUCAGACCCCAGGGCCCCGUCUCCAGAUCUCUGCUGUGUUCAUCCUCAUUUACUCUCAAUCUGCCUCCAUCUGAUCACCUCCUGUCCACUGGCUUAGAAACUGACUCCACUUUUAUCUUCUUUGAUCUGACCUCAGUUUAAUAGGCACCUAUAAAUGCCUAAUAGGCACCUCUUUUCCCACUA
Long non-coding RNA from Equus caballus (horse), 1911 nucleotides. The record is from Ensembl. NCBI's taxonomy places the organism in Eukaryota, Metazoa, Chordata, Mammalia, Perissodactyla, Equidae.